GACGAACGCUGGCGGCGUGCUUAACACAUGCAAGUCGAACGGAAAGGCCCUGCUUUUGUGGGGUGCUCGAGUGGCGAACGGGUGAUUAACACGUGAGUAACCUGCCCUUGACUUUGGUAUAACCUCAGGACACUGGGGCUAAUACCGGCUAGGAGCUCCUGCUGCAUGGUGGGGGUUGGUAAGAUUCGGUGGUUGGGGAUGGAAUCGCGUCUUAUGAGCUUGAUGCUUGGGUAGUGGCUUACCAAGGCAUUGCCGGGUAGCCGGGCUGGUAGGAUGACCUGAUCCGCUGGGACGGAGAUACGGCACAGCCUACUACGGGAGGCAGCAGUGCGGAAUAUUGCAUUAGGGGAGGAAGCCUGAUCUAACAAAGCCGCGUGGGGGAUGACGUCAUUCGGUUUGGGUUCCACUGUUCUCUGUGACGAAACGUGAGUGACGGUAAUGGGUGAAGAAGCUCCGGCUAACUACGUG
RNAcentral lists this ribosomal RNA (468 nucleotides) under uncultured bacterium. RNAcentral's name for it is "partial 16S ribosomal RNA". It matches the Rfam family "Bacterial small subunit ribosomal RNA", at positions 28 to 507 of the family's 1533-position model. The record is from RNAcentral.